Molecule: long non-coding RNA, 293 nt
Filed under: Capsella rubella
Lineage: Eukaryota; Viridiplantae; Streptophyta; Magnoliopsida; Brassicales; Brassicaceae
Description: long non-coding RNA (CRUB_LNC000781)
Source: RNAcentral
ACGAUUAUAUGAACUAUUGAUGACACGUGCAUCCAUUUUUCAUAAAGUUUUAGGAAUAAAUUUUGGGCAGAGACUGCAAAUAAGUGAUUUGGUAAUCUUAUGGUGUCAAACACUACUUGUAUUAAAAAAAAAAAAAAAAAAAAAAAAAAAAAAAAAAAAAAAAACACUACUUGUAUUCCUCUAUGCAGUUUUAUGUCAUCCCAAGUUUUUGAUAAUGAAGGAACACUUUGUAGCUCUCCAAAUUGGGGUAAUGACAUGCAAGGAUGAUGGAGAGAUCCAUGUUUUCUUGUUUA